GAUGAACGCUGGCGGCGUGCCUAAUACAUGCAAGUCGAACGAACAGACGAGGAGCUUUCUUCUCUCACUUUAGCGUCGCACGGGUGAGUAACACGUCGGUAACCUACCUAUAAGACUGGGGUAACCUACUGAAACCGGUGCUAAUUCCCGCUAAUAUAUUCAACCGCAAGGUUCGGUAGUUAAAGGCCGUUUUGCUUUCACUGUGCGCUGAUUCCGCGCCGGAUUAGCUAGUAGGUAAGGUAACGGCUUACCCAGGCGACGAUCCGUAGCCGACCUGAGAGGGUGAUCGGCCACACUGGAACUGAGACACGGUCCAGACUCCUACGGGAGGCAGCAGUAGGGAAUAUUGCGCAAUGGGCGAAAGCCUGACGGAGCAAUGCCGCGUGUGUGAUGAAGGUCUUCGGAUCGUAAAGCUCUGUUAUUAGGGAGGAACGAAUGUGUAAGAAAACCUGCACGUCUUGACGGUACCUACUCAGAAAGCACCGGCUAACUACGUG
RNAcentral lists this ribosomal RNA (497 nucleotides) under uncultured bacterium. Its description in RNAcentral is "partial 16S ribosomal RNA". It matches the Rfam family "Bacterial small subunit ribosomal RNA", at positions 28 to 507 of the family's 1533-position model. The record is from RNAcentral.